CGGGAGGCAGCAGUGGGGAAUAUUGGACAAUGGGCGAAAGCCUGAUCCAGCCAUGCCGCGUGUGUGAAGAAGGUCUUCGGAUUGUAAAGCACUUUAAGUUGGGAGGAAGGGCAGUAAGUUAAUAUCUUGCUGUUUUGACGUUACCAACAGAAUAAGCACCGGCUAACUUCGUG
Molecule: ribosomal RNA, 173 nt
Filed under: uncultured bacterium
Lineage: Bacteria
Description: partial 16S rRNA
Rfam family: Bacterial small subunit ribosomal RNA
Source: RNAcentral